Dermochelys coriacea (leatherback sea turtle) is the source of this 446-nucleotide long non-coding RNA. RefSeq lists it as uncharacterized. Lineage: Eukaryota; Metazoa; Chordata; Testudines; Dermochelyidae. The transcript has 2 exons. The record is from RefSeq and is a predicted model, not a curated record.
UGCCUACCACAAAGCCCACGAGGCAAACUGCCGCUCCGGUGCUGCCCCUGCGACCUGCCGUUUCUACAAAGAGCUGGACGCGAUACUUGGGAGCGACCCCACCUCCACUCCAACGAGCACCAUGGAUGCUUCUGAGCCCAGCACAGCAAGGGGGGAGGAGGAGGAAAACACGAGCAAGGGUGCUGAGGUGGGGGGAGAUACCCUGGAAUCCUUAGAUGCAUGCAGCCCGGAGCUCUUCUCGAGCCAGGAGGAAGGCAGCCAGUCACGGCGUCUGGUGCUUGGGGAAGGAUAAACACCAGAGGAGGUUCCCGGUGCAACCUUGAGAUCUCAGCCGCCAGUGUUACCACUGGCCGACAGACUGAGAGCACUCAGGAAGAGGCCCUGUAAAAGCAAAGACAACAUGCUGCAGGAAGUGAUGCGGCAGUCUGUGGAAGAGAAUCAAAAGG